CACCAGAUAAGACAGCUGAAUGAUAGUCGGGCUGAAGACUCUACUUGACUAGCUGAGAGGAGGUGCAUGGCCGUCGUCAGUUCGUACUGUGAAGCAUCCUGUUAAGUCAGGCAACGAGCGAGACCCCACGCCAACAGUUGCCAGCUCGUCCUCCGGGAUGGAGGGGACACUGUUGGGACCGCCUCUGCUAAAGAGGAGGAAGGAAUGGGCAACGGUAGGUCAGCAUGCCCCGAAUUAUCUGGGCUACACGCGGGCUACAAUGGGUGGGACAAUGGGUAUCGACACCGAAAGGUGAAGGCAAUCUCCUAAACCCAUCCUUAGUUCGGAUUGUGGGCUGCAACUCGCCCACAUGAAGCUGGAAUCUGUAGUAAUCGUGUUUCAAAAUAGCACGGUGAAUAUGUCCCUGCUCCUU
This 412-nucleotide ribosomal RNA is filed under the name uncultured Methanomicrobiales archaeon. RNAcentral describes it as "bacterial SSU rRNA". It matches the Rfam family "Archaeal small subunit ribosomal RNA", at positions 928 to 1338 of the family's 1478-position model. Lineage: Archaea; Methanobacteriati; Methanobacteriota; Methanomicrobia; Methanomicrobiales. The record is from RNAcentral.